This 73-nucleotide transfer RNA is filed under the name Haematococcus lacustris. Its description in RNAcentral is "Haematococcus pluvialis tRNA". It matches the Rfam family "tRNA". Rfam says of the family: Transfer RNA (tRNA) molecules are approximately 80 nucleotides in length. Their secondary structure includes four short double-helical elements and three loops (D, anti-codon, and T loops). Lineage: Eukaryota; Viridiplantae; Chlorophyta; Chlorophyceae; Chlamydomonadales; Haematococcaceae. The record is from Rfam by way of RNAcentral.
GGGGCUAUAGCUCAGUUGGUAGAGCGCUUGCUUCGCAUGCUAGAGGUCUGGGGUUCGACUCCCUAUGGCUCCA